AUUUAUAUAGCUUAUAUUAGAGUUAAAUAUUGAAGAUAUUUUGGAAGUUGAAUUGGACUUAUAAUUA
Molecule: transfer RNA, 67 nt
Filed under: Pulchriphyllium bioculatum
Lineage: Eukaryota; Metazoa; Arthropoda; Insecta; Phasmatodea; Phylliidae
Description: tRNA-Phe
Source: RNAcentral